GGUUAAGGAAAUCUUGGCGAGAUCGUCUAAUACUAGGAGUGGUGCGAAUACUCAACUGAUCUAGGAUAACUGAAGGUUAUUCGUUAAUCAAGGAUACCAGGAGUAGUGAAUAAUAUUUCAAAACCAAUAGUGGGUGAAACUCAAGGAAAUCUUAGUGGGUUGCUAAGUACCAAGAGUGGUGAGAAUAUUCAAUUGAUCUAGGGUAACUGAAGGUUAUUCGUUGAUCAGGGAUACCAGGAGUGGUGAAGAAUAUUGCACAACCAGGAGUAGGUGAAACUCAAGGAAAUCUUAGCGGGUUAUUAAGUACUAGGAGUGGUGCGAAUACUCAAGGAAAUCUCGGUGGGUUGCUGAGUACCAGGAGUGGUGCGAAUACUCAACUAAUCUAGGGUAAUUGGAGAUUAUUUGCUAAUUAAGGACACUAGGAGUGAUGAAUAAUACUACACAACCAGAAGUGGGGGAAAUUAAACUAGACGGGUUUCUCAAAGGCAUUGAGAACGUCUAGGGAUACCAAGAAUAGUGAAUAAUACUACGCAAUCAGGAGUGAGUUAAACUCAACUGCAUUUCAUUGAAUAUCUAAUGGAACUUUCUUAGUUAAUUUAGAGGAGAAUUGGACAUAGCCUUAACAGGUGAACCAGUAUAAAACAUCUUGUGUGUUUUUGUCUAUUGAUAAACUAUGUAGUUUGUUAACCUCUUCUAAGCUCACUCUCCUAUAACAUGCUUUAUGACAAUUAAGGUCAUUGUUU
This 743-nucleotide long non-coding RNA is filed under the name Vigna radiata. RNAcentral's name for it is "long non-coding RNA (VRAD_LNC008827)". The record is from RNAcentral. Lineage: Eukaryota; Viridiplantae; Streptophyta; Magnoliopsida; Fabales; Fabaceae.